GUUUCCGUAGUGUAGUGGUUAUCACGUUCGCCUCACAUGAGAAAGGUCCCCAGUUCGAAACUGGGCGGAAACA
Molecule: transfer RNA, 73 nt
Filed under: Danio rerio (zebrafish)
Lineage: Eukaryota; Metazoa; Chordata; Actinopteri; Cypriniformes; Danionidae
Description: tRNA-Val (CAC) (tRNA-Val-CAC-54-1)
Rfam family: tRNA
About the family: Transfer RNA (tRNA) molecules are approximately 80 nucleotides in length.
Source: Rfam by way of RNAcentral